This 54-nucleotide transfer RNA is filed under the name Loxodonta africana (African savanna elephant). The record is from Rfam by way of RNAcentral. Lineage: Eukaryota; Metazoa; Chordata; Mammalia; Proboscidea; Elephantidae.
ACCAUGGUAGCACAAUGGUUAAGUGUUUGGCUGCUAACCAAAAGGUCCAUGGUU